UACGUAGGGACCAAGCGUUGUUCGGAUUUACUGGGCGUAAAGGGCGCGUAGGCGGCAAUUCAAGUCAUCUGUGAAAUCUCCGGGCUUAACUCGGAACGGUCAGAUGAUACUGCUUUGCUAGAGUGCGGAAGGGGCAAUCGGAAUUCUCGGUGUAGCGGUGAAAUGCGUAGAUAUCGAGAGGAACACCAGAGGUGAAGACGGGUUGCUGGGCCGACACUGACGCUGAGGCGCGAAAGCCAGGGGAGCAAACGGG
This 253-nucleotide ribosomal RNA is filed under the name uncultured bacterium. Its description in RNAcentral is "partial 16S ribosomal RNA". It matches the Rfam family "Bacterial small subunit ribosomal RNA", at positions 524 to 776 of the family's 1533-position model. The record is from RNAcentral.